Long non-coding RNA from Megalopta genalis, 1028 nucleotides. RefSeq lists it as uncharacterized. Lineage: Eukaryota; Metazoa; Arthropoda; Insecta; Hymenoptera; Halictidae. The record is from RefSeq and is a predicted model, not a curated record.
ACAGAAUCGCAUAAAUUCUAGAACGAGAAGAUACGAGGUAAGAUAAAGGUGUGUAAUAGUAUCUACGAGAAUCGAAUUUCGUAUAGGAUGAGAUACAGAAAAAUAAAUGUGCCAUAACAAUCGACGAGGAUCGGGAACAAUGCUCCAGGUACGGCUAUUACAUCUUCGUAACAAAUGAGGAGACACGACUAGAUCUCCGGUCCCGUGAAUACAAAAGUUCACGAACGAGGAAAAGACGCAUCUCCGCUUUACGCGGGAAUCCCGCGAGUUAUUGAUUUCUGUUCCGCUUUCCUUCGGAAAAUUAUCUUCAUACCCGCCUGCAUUCUUUAAUGGACGAUAAAUUCGUGAGCGGUGCAUCGAAGACAUUCUCACACUUUUUCAAUCAACAACCUAACCCCUGGAUCCUGAGCUUUGUAUGCCGUGAAGGAACGAAGUUUUGAAUAAAACCGAAGAUCUCGAGAAAAAUAAAUUUGAAAAGAUCUUGAAGCUACGGAAGAUGCGAAGAUGCUAUUGAAGACAUCAAACUCUUGCUCUAUUUCUCAAAGAACAGGCCGUGCGCAUGGAAAUUUCAUUUUGUAUACGACAUCAUCCCUGUUCCAAGAUUCUGGCAGAUGAGUUGAACACACUCGAGCGCUUUCUACACUUUUUCACCAAAUAAUUUAUUACAGAGGAUGUAAGCCAACAGUUAAGGGUUUAAGCUUGGAAGAAACCCAACUUUUUGAGAAAAAUAAAUUUCAGGGAAUCUUGAACUUGCAGAAGACAAAAGGCGGACGAUGUUGAAGACACCGUUCUCUAUAAUGCACAGGCUAUUUAUGCUCUCUCCUCAGAAUUUAGCGAAACAAAGCACACACACACACACACAUUAAACCCUAUUUUAUUCAAUCCAGCAAUCCUGUUCAAAGAUUUUGGCAAUUAUGUAUUGUCUUCUGCGUUUAUUCGCCAAAUGAAUGAUCCAAAAAUGUGUAAGCCAAACCUUUUAAGAACAAUAAAAACAGGAUCUUGAACCUACAAUAGGCAGAAAAACAAUA